CCUUAACAUAUCGUUUGAUUGCUACAAUGACUUAUAGAAUUACUUGCAUUUUUCAAACUGUUUAUAGUGAACAAUCAAUUAAUCAAUAUACAUAAUUCUUCCAUCUGUAUAAAAAUAAAUAAAUAUAUGGAUACAUUAGAAUAUGCAUAUCAAUCAAUUGAUGGGUCUAUCGCUUCAUAUAACAUAAAUUUUAUUAAAAUUAAUAUAUAAUUAAUACUGCUCGGCACCUUCCAUC
RNAcentral lists this long non-coding RNA (235 nucleotides) under Elaeis guineensis (African oil palm). RNAcentral's name for it is "long non-coding RNA (EGUI_LNC002531)". Lineage: Eukaryota; Viridiplantae; Streptophyta; Magnoliopsida; Arecales; Arecaceae. The record is from RNAcentral.